RNAcentral lists this ribosomal RNA (506 nucleotides) under uncultured bacterium. RNAcentral describes it as "bacterial SSU rRNA". It matches the Rfam family "Bacterial small subunit ribosomal RNA", at positions 28 to 507 of the family's 1533-position model. The record is from RNAcentral.
GAUGAACGCUAGCGACAGGCCUAACACAUGCAAGUCGAGGGGCAUCGGGACGUAGCAAUACGUUGCCGGCGACCGGCGGAUGGGUGAGUAACGCGUAUGCAACCUACCCGUAGCAGGGGGAUAGCCCGUUGAAAGACGGAUUAAUACCCCGUAACACAGGGGCUCCGCAUGGAGAUUAUUGUUAAAGGGUCAUUUCUUUUAGAGGUGGUCCGGCUACGGAUGGGCAUGCGUUCCAUUAGGUAGUUGGUGUAGGUAACUGCUCACCAAGCCGACGAUGGAUAGGGGAACUGAGAGGUUGGUCCCCCACACUGGUACUGAGACACGGACCAGACUCCUACGGGAGGCAGCAGUGAGGAAUUUUGGUCAAUGGACGCAAGUCUGAACCAGCCAUGUCGCGUGAAGGAGGACGGCCCUAAGGGUUGUAAACUUCUUUUGCAGUGGAAUAAAGUUUGCCACGUGUUGGCGAUUUGCAAGUACGCUGCGAAUAAGGAUCGGCUAACUCCGUG